CAGUCGCCGCGGUAAUACGAAGGGGGCUGGCGUUGUUCGGAUUUACUGGGCGUAAAGGGCGCGUAGGCGGACUGAUAAGUCAGGGGUGAAAUCCCAAGGCUCAACCUUGGAACUGCCUUUGAUACUGUUUGUCUUGAGUUCGAGAGAGGUAAGUGGAACUGCGAGUGUAGAGGUGAAAUUCGUAGAUAUUCGCAAGAACACCAGUGGCGAAGGCGGCUUACUGGCUCGAAACUGACGCUGAGGCGCGAAAGCGUGGGGAGCAAACAGGAUUAGAUACCCCAGUAGUCCCUGUCUCUUAUAC
This 301-nucleotide ribosomal RNA is filed under the name uncultured bacterium. RNAcentral describes it as "partial 16S ribosomal RNA". It matches the Rfam family "Bacterial small subunit ribosomal RNA", at positions 509 to 807 of the family's 1533-position model. The record is from RNAcentral.